This 143-nucleotide small nucleolar RNA is filed under the name Pelusios castaneus (West African mud turtle). RNAcentral describes it as "Small nucleolar RNA ZL1 (ENSPCEG00000000746.1)". It matches the Rfam family "Small nucleolar RNA ZL1". Rfam says of the family: Host gene TRRAP. Predicted target U2@U47. The record is from Rfam by way of RNAcentral. Lineage: Eukaryota; Metazoa; Chordata; Testudines; Pelomedusidae.
GAAGAAGCAAAAUGAUGAGCAUUAUUUCCUUGAGCCUUUGAGAAAAGUGUGUAUGAAGUGUGAGUAUGAAACUGUGCGAUUGUGAGAAAUGUGUGCCUUACAGUCGGGCGAUGAUGGCUAAACUGAUAAGAUCUGAUUGCUUC